UUCGCAAAGGAUUGCAACAAGUUAAUUACUCGUAUCUAAUCGAGGACUGAAUGUUAUCAACUAACUCCAACUUCCGCUGUAUGCCGAGAUUAGCAUGAAAACUUCAUGCUGUGUUCGGGCUAUCAGAACUUCGUAUCCUAUUAGAAGGUCGCUUCAAGUAAAAUGAGCUCAGCACAGUAAGUCCAGGAGAACAGGAUAGAAAAUGGCGAAGGAGUAAAAACUGCUACCUUGGAUACUUGAUAUGAAGGUUUCCUCUCUAAUAGACCCCCGAGAGAAAGUAUCAGAAACCUGCCUUUCAUCUGCAUUCCAGAGAAGCUGAAAAUAAUUUCAUGAAGUUUAGUUUCACACAAGAUCGGCUAGCUCAUUGGAUCGAAUCCCGACGUUUACCACGAUGCUUCUACAUCAUUGCUUCUACAUCAGAAGACAUUCCUUUAAUGUGUCCAUGAUGUACCCUCCCGGACAUCUAAGAAGCUGUGGACGAACUCCUGGUGCCUGCCAAUCAGAGCUACUAGUCCGUCUGGGUGAAAAUGAUUACGUGGCUGUAAGCUCUUUUUUACCAAGAUAUAAUGGGAUCAUGUGUACUUACUUAUAUUUGAUACCAUUAAAAACGUCGUCCUCCUUAUUCGUGCGCUAAAGAGUACUUAUGUUGAAUUACUUAAAGAUUAAAACAAUAGUAUUUUAUGGACAGCAAUUAACAACAGAUUUGAUAAAAAAAACAUGGCAAUUCCUGAAACUGGAAAAUUCUCCUUCCAUUUUGUAAUCCUGCAAUCCAAGUUUAUUGCCUGUAUCGUUGUUUUAGUUUUCAGCUUUUAUUUAUUUUUUCAAUAUAAUUAUUCUUUGAAUAAUUUGCUAUCAGAUAACUUUCUUUCGUCAAAGUGUUUUCCUGCAAAAGUUAAAAUUAUCCCCACCGGUUUUUCUACUCUACAGUAUUUUCAAAGAGAUCAAUAUAAAAUUCGUUAGAUUUAAAUUGAAUUGUCCAUCUACUGUCAUGGAUCUGAAAGCUGAAGAAUAAACAGUAAUAACGUUUUUCUCUAAAACGUAGAUAAUAGCAAUGGAGGAUUUGAAGUAUCAUGUAAAGUGUACGGGAAAUCAAGGGUUAACAUGAUUGCAAUGUUUUCUCUGGUACAAACGAUUUCGUGAUGGAUGCGAAAAUGCUUAUGAUAAACAAUCAUUAUAUAUCUUGAAAUAUACAUUUCAACAUAGUAGUAUAAUUUUUACAUUGCCUGGAAAACAGAAUGAAGAACCGAUUUUAUGCAUGACAUGAUUCAAAGAACUGUGACUGAACACGAAACUUAGUGUUUUGCUUAUGGAGAGAAAAACUGUUUGUAAUGCACAAGAUUCAUUUGAGUCUCAGAAACUUGGAUUUUAGGAAUCUCAAAAUAAGGCCACAUUGCUGUUUAUUUUUGACUGGAAAGGGACAGUUCGAAAACGAUUCGUUGUAGGAAACUUCCAUAUUUUACAAAAGUUUACAAAGUUAUAAUAGACAGACAUCCGAACAGAAUUCAGAAUGUAAGGCCUGUCAUAUAAUUCCAUUUUCAUCAAGCAAGUUUUAGCGAAGAAAAAUCUUAGACUUCUUAUCCACCUCCCUUACUCACCAGAUUUGGCAUCUGCAUUCAACUUAUCUCUCCUAAAUAGAAGUGUCACAUCGAAAAUCGUUAUUUUAAUAGCACUUUAGAGGUUCAGAAAAUUAUAACAGAGGCUUAUGUAUUUAAAAAUUGUAUAUUGAAGACUAAAAAGUAAUAAUGUUGUUUACUUCAACUUUAGAUUUUGUACAAACGUAGUAAUAAAAUACUGAAGAUGUACUGCGUACAUCUAGAACACGUGA
Stegodyphus dumicola is the source of this 1825-nucleotide long non-coding RNA. RefSeq lists it as uncharacterized. NCBI's taxonomy places the organism in Eukaryota, Metazoa, Arthropoda, Arachnida, Araneae, Eresidae. The record is from RefSeq and is a predicted model, not a curated record.